Molecule: long non-coding RNA, 222 nt
Filed under: Capra hircus (goat)
Lineage: Eukaryota; Metazoa; Chordata; Mammalia; Artiodactyla; Bovidae
Description: lncRNA (ENSCHIG00010014673.1)
Source: RNAcentral
AACGACGGCUCUAGAACCUGAGUCAUGUUUACCAGAAAGAGAUAGGACAUGCGCUCAUCCUGCCUGGCCAAUCAUGUAACGCCAGCUACUCCUGUAACAGACAAAGAACUGCCUGUAUAUAAGCCGCCAUACUCCUUUGUUAUUACUGAAUAUUCAGAGAAGACAUCACAAGACCUCCCUCUUUCAUGUCUGAAUUCUGUUAGAGUCAAGCAAGAAAUCUUU